RNAcentral lists this ribosomal RNA (440 nucleotides) under uncultured bacterium. Its description in RNAcentral is "partial 16S ribosomal RNA". It matches the Rfam family "Bacterial small subunit ribosomal RNA", at positions 338 to 795 of the family's 1533-position model. The record is from RNAcentral.
CCUACGGGAGGCAGCAGUGGGGGAUAUUGCACAAUGGGGGAAACCCUGAUGCAGCGACGCCGCGUGAGUGAAGAAGUAUUUCAGUAUGUAAAGCUCUAUCAGCAGGGAAGAAAAUGACAGUACUUGACCAAGAAGCACCGGCUAACUACGUGCCAGCAGCCGUGGUAAGACGUAGGGGGCAAGCGUUAUCCGGAUUUACUGGGUGUAAAGGGAGCGUAGACGGUUAUGUAAGUCUGGCGUUAAAGCCCGGGGCCCAACACCGGGACUGCUUUGGAAACUGUGUAACUGGAGUACAGGAGGGGCAGGCGGAAUUCCUGGUGUAGCGGUGAAAUGCGUAGAUAUCAGGAAGAACCCCGGCGGCGAAGGCAGCCUGCUGGACUAAAACUGACGUUGAGGCUCGAAAGCGUGGGGAGCAAACAGGAUUAGAUACCCCUGUAGUC